GCUCCCAUAGCUCAGUUGGUUUAGAGCAUCAAGCUUAUAUCUUGGAGGUCGACGGUUCGAUCCCGCCUGGGAGCA
RNAcentral lists this transfer RNA (75 nucleotides) under Aspergillus flavus NRRL3357. RNAcentral's name for it is "tRNA-Ile (TAT) (tRNA-Ile-TAT-1-1)". It matches the Rfam family "tRNA". Rfam says of the family: Transfer RNA (tRNA) molecules are approximately 80 nucleotides in length. Their secondary structure includes four short double-helical elements and three loops (D, anti-codon, and T loops). Further hydrogen bonds mediate the characteristic L-shaped molecular structure. tRNAs have two regions of fundamental functional importance: the anti-codon, which is responsible for specific mRNA codon recognition, and the 3' end, to which the tRNAs corresponding amino acid is attached (by aminoacyl-tRNA synthetases). tRNAs cope with the degeneracy of the genetic code in two manners: having more than one tRNA (with a specific anti-codon) for a particular amino acid; and 'wobble' base-pairing, i.e. permitting non-standard base-pairing at the 3rd anti-codon position. Lineage: Eukaryota; Fungi; Ascomycota; Eurotiomycetes; Eurotiales; Aspergillaceae. The record is from RNAcentral. RNAcentral also lists the same sequence under 2 other names.